Molecule: long non-coding RNA, 217 nt
Filed under: Carica papaya (papaya)
Lineage: Eukaryota; Viridiplantae; Streptophyta; Magnoliopsida; Brassicales; Caricaceae
Description: long non-coding RNA (CPAP_LNC014594)
Source: RNAcentral
UUAAGGCCAUUUAAGAACCUUGUCAUAGUAGCUUUCCUAUCCUCUUCAAUAUUAGCCCUUAUCAUGGCUAUCUCCAUCUUUUUGUAGUAGUCUUCUACACUUUUGUUCCCUUGUAUAAGGCCUUACAAUUUUUGAUGUAAGUCCCUAUAGUAGUGAGUAGGAACAAAGCACCUUCUCAUGAUAGCCUUCAUUUCGGUCCAAGUGGAAAUAAGUCUCU